UAAUAUUUAUCUUACUAAUUUUUUUGUUUUUGUUUCGGUGAAAUAACAUUUUAUUUAGUAUUUUUUAAUGAAAUAUAUAUUUUAGUUAUAGUAGAUUAGUACUGUGAAGGGUUGUUGAAAUAAUUGAAAUUGAAUUUUAUUUAAGUAAAUUUUGUUUAUUGUACCUUUUGUAUCAGGGUUAAUUAAAAUUUUUAAUUUAUUUUUUUGUCCCGAUUUUAGUAGAGCUAUGUUAUUAAUUUAUUUAAUGUUGAAUAAUUAUUGAUAAUAAUUCAUAGAUGGGAUAUCUAAUUCGUUUCUGAAGGUAUCUGGUUUCUUAAUAAAUAAAUUUAAUUUAUUCUUUAUGUGAAAAUACUUAAUUUUUAAGUUUUUUUAUUUAAAGUUAUAUAUUAUAGGGGAUAAGCUCUAUAUUAUUUCUAUAAUAUUUAUUUAUUUUUAUUUAUUGUAGGGUUGUAAUUAUCCAUCAUUAUUAAGUGUGUUAUAAUUUAAGAUUUAAAAUUAUUUGAUUUAUUUUUAUUUAGAAUUUUAUUAAGAUUAAAUGAUGAAUUUUUUAUUUUUUGUAAUAAUGAUUAAAUUAGUAUAUUUAUAUGUUUAAAUUAAUAUAAUGACAGGAUAAAAUAAGGAAUUCGGCAAAUUUAAGAUUCUCGCCUGUUUAUCAAAAACAUGUCCUCUUGAUUUAUUAUGAGAGGUUUGACCUGCCCAGUGAUAUAUUUAACGGCCGCGGUAUUUUGACCGUGCAAAGGUAGCAUAAUCAUUAGUCUUUUAAAAGGGGGCUGGAAUGAAGGGUUUGACGAGGAAUCUACUGUCUCAUUUUAUUUGUAUUUAGAAUUUAACUUUUUAGUCAAAAAGCUAAAAUUUUGUUGGAAGACGAGAAGACCCUAUAGAGCUUUAUACUUAUUCAAUUAUUUAUUUUAUAUUAUUUUUAAUUAUUUUGAUUAAGUAUUUUGUUGGGGUGACAAAAAUAUAUAAUUAACUUUUUUAUAUUAAUUACAUUGAUUUAUGAAUAUUAGAUCCAUUAUUAUUGAUUGUUAGAUUAAGUUACCUUAGGGAUAACAGCGUAAUCCUUUCCCAGAGUUCAUAUUUACGGAGGGGCUUGCGACCUCGAUGUUGGAUUAAGAUAAUUAUUAGGUGUAGCCGCUUAAUUAAUAGGUCUGUUCGACCUUUAAAUUCUUACAUGAUCUGAGUUCAGACCGGUUUAAGCCAGGUCGGUUUCUAUCUCCAAUUUUAUUUUUGUUCUUAGUACGAAAGGACCAGAACGAGAAAAUAAUUUUUUAUUUUUGAUUAACA
This 1284-nucleotide ribosomal RNA is filed under the name Macromia daimoji. RNAcentral describes it as "16S ribosomal RNA". The stretch from base 858 to 1219 matches the Rfam family "Archaeal large subunit ribosomal RNA", at positions 2150 to 2716 of the family's 2987-position model. Lineage: Eukaryota; Metazoa; Arthropoda; Insecta; Odonata; Macromiidae. The record is from RNAcentral.